UACGUAGGUGGCGAGCGUUGUCCGGAUUUACUGGGCGUAAAGGGAGCGUAGGCGGAUUUUUAAGUGAGAUGUGAAAUACUCGGGCUCAACUUGAGUGCUGCAUUUCAAACUGGAAGUCUAGAGUGCAGGAGAGGAGAAUGGAAUUCCUAGUGUAGCGGUGAAAUGCGUAGAGAGUAGGAAGAACACUAGUGGCGAAGGCGAUUCUCUGGACUGUAACUGACGCUGAGGCUCGAAAGCGUGGGGAGCAAACAGG
RNAcentral lists this ribosomal RNA (253 nucleotides) under uncultured bacterium. RNAcentral describes it as "partial 16S ribosomal RNA". It matches the Rfam family "Bacterial small subunit ribosomal RNA", at positions 524 to 776 of the family's 1533-position model. The record is from RNAcentral.